RNAcentral lists this RNase P RNA (369 nucleotides) under Candidatus Nealsonbacteria bacterium CG_4_10_14_0_2_um_filter_37_10. Its description in RNAcentral is "RNase P RNA component class A". It matches the Rfam family "Bacterial RNase P class A". Rfam says of the family: Ribonuclease P (RNase P) is a ubiquitous endoribonuclease, found in archaea, bacteria and eukarya as well as chloroplasts and mitochondria. Lineage: Bacteria; Candidatus Nealsoniibacteriota. RNAcentral also lists the same sequence under 1 other name. The record is from RNAcentral.
CUAGUAAGCCGGGUGAUUACCCCCACCAAUACUGGUGAAGGGAGGAAAGUCCGAACUUCCAUCUCCUCUACUAAUAGAGGGGGUAAAAAAGUAGCGGCUAACCGCCGUCCACCGUGAGGUGAGAGGUGCGAAAAGAAACGCUUUGAGCGAAAGCAAGAAGCCCCCACACCAAAAGUUGGUCUAGGGAAUCCUGACGGAAACGCCAGGCUGAUACGGCUAAAUCCUUACUGGAAGCAAGAGUAAACCGGAAAUUCUGAGAUUUAUCUUAGAAAUUCCGUGAAAAGUAACUCGCUUGAGCCUGGAAGUAAUUCCAGGCCUAGAUCGAUAAUCACACAAAUACAGAAUUCGGCUUAUAGACUUACUAGGACU